Ostrea edulis (European flat oyster) is the source of this 5138-nucleotide long non-coding RNA. RefSeq lists it as uncharacterized. The transcript has 8 exons. The record is from RefSeq and is a predicted model, not a curated record. Lineage: Eukaryota; Metazoa; Mollusca; Bivalvia; Ostreida; Ostreidae.
UGGACUUCAUCAAACCGUGUUCCUGGUGCGCAUUUCUGAUUAAAGAUUCCAUCGGUGAAUGAGUCCAGAGAACCAUCCACAGCCGUCCACAAACAUUCUGAAUCUGGUGUUAUUUCUGCGGUUGCAACAUCAGAAGAUGGAUGGGUUAUGUCGCCUUCGGUAGCUACAGUAACAUCACUGUCGCCGAUGAGAUUAGGUGCGAUUUCUCUCUCUGGUACUGUUAUAGAAGUGUUGGAUUCCGCUCCUCCAAUUUUGUUUGGAUACUCGUUAACCGGAUCUGUUAAAACGGUAUCUUCUCCAGGAAUAUCUGAGGUUGUCUUUACUACCACAGACGCAUUAACAAUAUUUUCUAAGGGUAUCUGAGAAUUAGCGACCUUAGAAUCAUUUGCUGUCGGCCCUGUGGCGGUGAGUAAAAGUAGAUCAUUUCUUCCAUCAAACGUCUCGUUGAGAUUGAAGUUGAAGUCCACUGUUGUGACGGGUGCCGUGGUUGUGGUGGGAUCCAUUGGAGAUGUAGCAGUUUGUAAAACGUCUGCCACCACUCCGCCAUCCCCCACAGGUAGAACUCCAGUCCCAGAUUCAACCAAGGUGGUCUCCCCAGGAUACGUUUCAACAACACCUUCUUGGCCGGUUACAAUUUCACCAUCUGCCGCUGCCCCAGGGUCUACAACACCAUCUGGGCCGGUUACAAUUUCACCAUCUGCCGCUGCCCCAGGGUCUACAACACUUUCUUGUCCGGUUACAAUUUCACCAUCUCCCGCUGCCCCAGGGUCUACAACACUUUCUGGGCCGGUUACAAUUUCACCAUCUCCUGCUGCCCCAGGGUCUACAACACCAUCUGGGCCGGUUACAAUUUCACCAUCUGUCGCUGCCCCAGGGUCUACAACACUUUCUUGUCCGGUUACAAUUUCACCAUCUGCCUCUGCCCCAGGAUCUACAACACCUUCUGGGCCGGUUACAAUUUCACCAUUUGCCGCUGCCCCAGGGUCUACAACACCUUCUGGGCCGGUUACAAUUUCACCAUCUCCUGCUGCCCCAGGGUCUACAACACCUUCUGGGCCGGUUACAAUUUCACCAUCUCCUGCUGCCCCAGGGUCUACAACACCUUCUGGGCCGGUUACAAUUUCACCAUCUCCUGCUGCCCCAGGGUCUACAACACCUUCUGGGCCGGUUACAAUUUCACCAUCUGCUGCUGUCCCAGGAUCCACUAAUGCUUCCCCACCGACAGGGGGGUCUUGUUUUGGUACAUUGGCAUUGUCCGUUAUGGGAGCUGUUUCCUUUGUUAAUACGUCUGUUCCAUCAGAAACUAGACUGGCUGGAGGGGUGAGAUCUCCAACACCUGGGUCAGUGGCCAGUGUGUCUCCCAGAACUUCUUCACCAGGAUUUGUGACGACCAAUGGAUCUUCAAAUGGGUCUGGAAUAAAUCAUCAAUGACUUAUUAUCAUCUUGGAAUUCUAGCUAUCCGAUGCUCUUGAACAUAGCUUACCCCCUGGCGCCGGCGGUCCUUCUGGAAAUGUUGCUAUGUUGGGUAAAAAUUCUGAUCCCGGAUCUUGGCCUACAAUGGAAUAUGAUGACAAUAGAUAUACAAAGGAACAGGGAAUAGGCGUUAUAUAUCAGGAUCCGUAAAAAGAACCAGGGACGAAUUCAAAGCUGUAAACAGGCGGAAUUUAUUCCAGUUGGAGACGGUGACCAUUUUUCUGUAAUACCUCUCAUAUUGUCACGAAACUGAACAGUAAAGGGCGACACCGCAACCAAGGUCAAGACUGGAGCGCUAUUGUGACGUCAUUUCCAAUAUUGAUGGAGCAAGUGCUUUUUAAUGGUGGGACUCGGCGUUAAACUGUAAAAAUUCAAUACAAAAGGGAGCGCUAACGAGAAAUGACGUCACUUUAGCGUACAGACGCAACUCAACAGCGUCCUCCAGGUCGCCAAGAACGAUAUGACAAACAUUAUCAGCUGUCAGUAAAGUGAAUCUUUAAAAAAUGUCUUAUUGACAAGUUAUCGACAUGUUCAGGGGACGAAUAGCAAACAGGUGAAUGUUGGAUGUCGUCCAUGGAAUUUCUAUCCUGAUGUAACAUUUAUACUAAUACAGUCAGCUGAAUAAGGAAAAUGCCAGUGACAUUUCUUAGAGUACAGAUCAAAAGCUGAUAUUUCAAUUUUUUUCUAAUAUGCAAAUCUCGUUAAGGUCAGCUGUUCGGUCUUUAAGAUGAUAUGCAGAUUGAGACAGCUAGAAUAACAGAAGAUAUAAAAUACAAAUUCAUUGUGGAACUCUCUCAACAUUGUCCUCAUAAAUUAUUCUACUUGCAUGAAAGGUGAAGAUAGCGAACAGUGAUCAAUCUCAUAACUCCUACAAGCAAUACAAAAUCGAUAUUUGGGCAAACACAGACUCCUGGACACACCAGAGGUGGGAUCAGGUGCCUAGGAGGAGUAAGCACCCCCUGUCGACCGGUCACACCCGCCGUGAGCCCUAUAUCCCGAUCAGGUAAACAGAGUUAUUCGUAGUAAAAAUCAGUGUGAAGAACGGCUUAACAAUCGGUAUGAAACACGUCAGACAGCAUUUGACCCAAUGAUAGGUUGUAUUGACGAACUAGAUCGUAAUAACGACCAUAUAAUUUGCGAAAUGCUGACUUCAAUCGAGACUGUUGAAACCCCAUUUCCAUCAACUUGUUUGUCAGUAACUUCGUUCAACCCUGGUUCUUUUUACGGCUCCUUGUUGAGAUAAAAAGAUGUUGUCAGUAGCAUGCUUCGAUUUAAAAACUGACUAUACGCAGAACAAGCUCUUGCAUAUCGAAUCAGUUGAGAGAUAUAAACACCAUAUGCAGGUGAUAAUGGAAUAUUGCUACAUAAAUGUGGGAAGUUGACAAUGGAGAAGCUGAAAUAAUACCGUUUGUCAUACAGUUGAGUUGUCAGUUUGCUGUUAAUGUCUACUUUCAAUAAAAUAUCUAAGUAUGAAGCAGAAGUGGACGACUCUGUGGUGUCGUUUAUUUCGAGCUCACAGGGAUAUAUCAAAUCAACAUAUCAAUGAAAGUUAUUAUUGUUAAUAGACAAAACGUCGUCGAUAUAUUUUAAUGUCAAUUGAAGGCCACAGCAAGAGAUUUUUUCUUCUCACGUAGAAGUUUUUGAAUAAAUUCUGCUUCAUAUGAAUAUAAAAACAGGUCAGCUAAUUAAGGAGCACAAUUCGUGUCCAUGGAAAUUCCAACAGACUGUUGGAAGAUCUGAUCACCAAAGACCACGAAGAUAUUGUCAAUGAGAAACUCUAACAUAUUGUUUUAUUUGAACUUCAGAGUACUUGUGCGUGGAAUCAGAGUGGUGUUUAACAAGUAAGUUUUUGGAUGACUGAUCACUAGAUAUGAAUGCAAGGUGAAGAUAACGAACAGUGAUCAAUCUCAUAACUCCUACAAGCAAUACAAAAUAGAUAGUUGGGCAAACACGGACCCCUGGACACACCAGAGGUGGGAUCAGGUGCCUAGGAGGAGUAAGCAUUCCCUGUUGACCGGUCACACCCGCCGUGAGCCCUAUAUCCUGAUCAGGUAAACGGAGUUAUCCGCAGUCAAAAUCAAUGUGCCAAGAACGGCUUAACAAUUGGUAUGAAACACGUCAGACAGCAUUUGACCCAAUGCGAGGUUGUAUUGACGAACUAGAUCGUUAUAACGACCAUAGAAUUUGCGAAAUGCAGACUUCAAUCGAGACUGUUGAAAUCCCUGUACCAUCAACUUGUUUGUCCGUAGCUUACCUCGAAUGAAUGUUUCCUUUUUCCAUUUUUGUUGAAGAAGCAACUGUCUAUGAUGUCAAAAAGUCUAGUCUUUAAUUUAUCGUGAGGAAUGGUUGUGUGUAGUGUUGAAAAGUCAUAGGUUUUAAUGUUAUUGAUUUGGGAAAAGUUUUGCGAUUUCAAGUUUACUAAAAGUUCUUUAGAAUUUUUUAGAAUCCACAUUUGAUUAACACCACUUCUGGCAUAUGUAGUCGCACAGUAAGUUUGAAGUUUCUCCUUCACAGCUGUUAAUAUUUUCGUGAGGAGCAAAGAUAGGGGCUUGGUAGAGCACAUACUGGAUCCAGCAAUGUAUCUUUGUUUGUAAGGGGUUUUAUGUAGUUUAGGAAUCCAGUAUAGGUAGGUAACUCAUAUUCAUUCGACCCAUUGACUGGGAUAUUAAAUGUGUUUAAAACUGAAGCAUGGUUUCGAAGAAAUUCAUGUUGGAGUAUAAGUACGAUUACCAAAAGUGGAAUUAAUGCCAAGUUCGUUUAAAAUAAAAUUGCAAUAAUGAGCCAUACAAACAAAGACAAUGUUGUUACUGGCUUUGUCAGCUGAAACCAAAACAUAUUCCUCAUGUAACCUAUCUAAUUCUUUUAUCACUUCUGGUUUACUAAACACAGAAGGAUAGAUGGCACGUACUUUUGUUUUCAUGUGUCUAAUGCGGGAUUUUAAUAUCCCUCUUAUGCUUUUAACCCAUUCUGACAAUGCAUCAAGUUCUUCUUUUUCAUAUUUAGGCCUUCAUCUGGCAUAAUCUUCGACAGAAUUCAUAAUAGAGAUGAAGUUCUGUCGCCAAUUAAAAGACCGAGGUUCUCUGUAUUUAGGACCUUUUAGAAUAAGUUAUUUGAGGUCCUCAUUUUCAACUAUAUCAACAUCACCAGUAAUGACAUGUCCAGCUGGACUAUAGUUGAAAGAAGAACAAGAACAUGUUGGUGGAUUACGUAUAAGAUGGUCUAUAUCUAGGCACUGCAAAGUUUGUUUAUAAAUUUUUUUAAAAAUUGGAUGCAAUAGUAGAAGUAUAGCUGUAGGAAAUACAGGGUGUAGACUUGAACUUGAAAUAAGUUGGAAUACACGACUGAACUCUUUUAUGACGAAGAAUGUUACUUAUGUUGACGGCAUCUAUUCCUUUGUUUGUAAAUUUGAGCUUAAGGAACUGGCGCCAUGAUUUGGAAGGAAUAUCAUCCAUGACCCGUGCUGGUUUAAGAACCUGUGAUAUGCAACAUCCAUAAUCAUAGAGUUCAGUCUGUAUUCGGAUGUUGAAAAUCCAAGUAUAGACUAGCUGUAGCUUCUUCAAAUAACGUAUGUAAAACUCUCAAUGGAACAGAGUAAAGUUUUGUACGAAUAUGAUGUAGACCUAAUUGUCUGUUGACGUAAGGCAAAAGUGAAUCAAACGUGACAU